Molecule: ribosomal RNA, 464 nt
Filed under: uncultured bacterium
Lineage: Bacteria
Description: partial 16S ribosomal RNA
Rfam family: Bacterial small subunit ribosomal RNA
Source: RNAcentral
CUACGGGUUGCUGCAGUGGGGAAUAUUGCACAAUGGGCGCAAGCCUGAUGCAGCCAUGCCGCGUGUAUGAAGAAGGCCUUCGGGUUGUAAAGUACUUUCAGCGGGGAGGAAGGGAGUAAAGUUAAUACCUUUGCUCAUUGACGUUACCCGCAGAAGAAGCACCGGCUAACUCCGUGCCAGCAGCCGCGGUAAUACGGAGUGUGCAAGCGUUAAUCGGAAUUACUGGGCGUAAAGCGCACGCAGGCGGUUUGUUAAGUCAGAUGUGAAAUCCCCGGGCUCAACCUGGGAACUGCAUCUGAUACUGGCAAGCUUGAGUCUCGUAGAAGGGGGUAGAAUUCCAGGUGUAGCGGUGAAAUGCGUAGAGAUCUGGAGGAAUACCGGUGGCGAAGGCGGCCCCCUGGACGAAGACUGACGCUCAGGUGCGAAAGCGUGGGGAGCAAACAGGAUUAGAUACCCGAGUAGUC